Molecule: transfer RNA, 73 nt
Filed under: Escherichia phage ECML-4
Lineage: Duplodnaviria; Heunggongvirae; Uroviricota; Caudoviricetes; Pantevenvirales; Ackermannviridae
Also listed under: 5 other names
Description: tRNA-Ile
Rfam family: tRNA
About the family: Transfer RNA (tRNA) molecules are approximately 80 nucleotides in length. Their secondary structure includes four short double-helical elements and three loops (D, anti-codon, and T loops). Further hydrogen bonds mediate the characteristic L-shaped molecular structure. tRNAs have two regions of fundamental functional importance: the anti-codon, which is responsible for specific mRNA codon recognition, and the 3' end, to which the tRNAs corresponding amino acid is attached (by aminoacyl-tRNA synthetases). tRNAs cope with the degeneracy of the genetic code in two manners: having more than one tRNA (with a specific anti-codon) for a particular amino acid; and 'wobble' base-pairing, i.e. permitting non-standard base-pairing at the 3rd anti-codon position.
Source: RNAcentral
UGCUUCAUAGCUCAGUAGGUAGAGCGUUCCCCUGAUAAGGGAGAGGUCACUGGUUCGAAUCCAGUUGAAGCAA